UACGGAGGGGGCAAGCGUUGUUCGGAAUUACUGGGCGUAAAGGGCGCGCAGGCGGCUGCUCAAGUCAGGCGUGAAAGGCCUGGGCUCAACCCGGGAAUUGCGCUUGAGACUGGGCUGGCUUGAGUGCGGGAGAGGAUGGUGGAAUUCUCGGUGUAGAGGUGAAAUUCGUAGAUAUCGGGAGGAACACCAGUGGCGAAGGCGGCGACCUGGGCCAAUACUGACGCUGAGGUGCGAAAGCGUGGGGAGCAAACAGG
Molecule: ribosomal RNA, 254 nt
Filed under: uncultured bacterium
Lineage: Bacteria
Description: partial 16S ribosomal RNA
Rfam family: Bacterial small subunit ribosomal RNA
Source: RNAcentral